Molecule: ribosomal RNA, 1486 nt
Organism: Synechococcus sp. SynAce01
Lineage: Bacteria; Bacillati; Cyanobacteriota; Cyanophyceae; Synechococcales; Synechococcaceae
Rfam family: Bacterial small subunit ribosomal RNA
Source: Rfam
ACAACGGAGAGUUUGAUCCUGGCUCAGGAUGAACGCUGGCGGCGUGCUUAACACAUGCAAGUCGAACGGGCCUUCGGGCUAGUGGCGGACGGGUGAGUAACGCGUGAGAAUCUGCCCUCAGGAGGGGGAUAACAGCUGGAAACGGCUGCUAAUACCCCAUAUGCCGAGAGGUGAAACGAAUUUCGCCUGAGGAUGAGCUCGCGUCUGAUUAGCUUGUUGGUGAGGUAAGGGCUCACCAAGGCAUCGAUCAGUAGCUGGUCUGAGAGGAUGAUCAGCCACACUGGGACUGAGACACGGCCCAGACUCCUACGGGAGGCAGCAGUGGGGAAUUUUCCGCAAUGGGCGCAAGCCUGACGGAGCAACGCCGCGUGAGGGACGAAGGCCUCUGGGCUGUAAACCUCUUUUCUCAAGGAAGAAGACAUGACGGUACUUGAGGAAUAAGCCACGGCUAAUUCCGUGCCAGCAGCCGCGGUAAUACGGGAGUGGCAAGCGUUAUCCGGAAUUAUUGGGCGUAAAGCGUCCGCAGGCGGCCCAGAAAGUCUGUUGUUAAAAAGUGGAGCUCAACUCCAUCCAGGCAAUGGAAACUACUGGGCUAGAGUGUGGUAGGGGCAGAGGGAAUUCCCGGUGUAGCGGUGAAAUGCGUAGAUAUCGGGAAGAACACCAGUGGCGAAGGCGCUCUGCUGGGCCAUAACUGACGCUCAUGGACGAAAGCUAGGGGAGCGAAAGGGAUUAGAUACCCCUGUAGUCCUAGCCGUAAACGAUGAACACUAGGUGUCGGGAGAAUUAUCCCUCUCGGUGUCGUAGCCAACGCGUUAAGUGUUCCGCCUGGGGAGUACGCACGCAAGUGUGAAACUCAAAGGAAUUGACGGGGGCCCGCACAAGCGGUGGAGUAUGUGGUUUAAUUCGAUGCAACGCGAAGAACCUUACCAGGGCUUGACAUCCUGCGAACCCCUGAGAGAUCGGGGGGUGCCUUCGGGAACGCAGUGACAGGUGGUGCAUGGCUGUCGUCAGCUCGUGUCGUGAGAUGUUGGGUUAAGUCCCGCAACGAGCGCAACCCACGUCUUUAGUUGCCAGCAUUUAGUUGGGCACUCUAGAGAGACCGCCGGUGAUAAACCGGAGGAAGGUGUGGAUGACGUCAAGUCAUCAUGCCCCUUACGUCCUGGGCUACACACGUACUACAAUGCUACGGACAAAGGGCAGCAAACUCGCGAGAGCUAGCAAAUCCCAUAAACCGUGGCUCAGUUCAGAUCGUAGGCUGCAACUCGCCUACGUGAAGGAGGAAUCGCUAGUAAUCGCAGGUCAGCAUACUGCGGUGAAUACGUUCCCGGGCCUUGUACACACCGCCCGUCACACCAUGGAAGUUGGCCAUGCCCGAAGUCGUUACUCCAACCCGUAAGGGAGGAGGACGCCGAAGGUGGGGCUGAUGACUGGGGUGAAGUCGUAACAAGGUAGCCGUACCGGAAGGUGCGGCUGGAUCACCUCCUAA